GAUGAAGAACGUAGCGAAAUGCGAUAAGUAAUGUGAAUUGCAGAAUUCAGUGAAUCAUCGAGUCUUUGAACGCACAUUGCGCCCGCCAGUAUUCUGGCGGGCAUGCCUGUCCGAGCGUCAUUUCAACCCUCAAGCCCCCGGGCUUGGUGUUGGAGAUCGGCGAGCCCCCCGGGGCGCGCCGUCUCCCAAAUAUAGUGGCGGUCCCGCUGUAGCUUCCUCUGCGUAGUAGCACACCUCGCACUGGGAAACAGCGUGGCCACGCCGUAAAACCCCCCACUUCUGAAAGGUUGACCUCGGAUCAGGUAGGAAUACCCGCUGAACUUAAGCAUAUCAAUAAGCGGAGGA
This 345-nucleotide unclassified non-coding RNA is filed under the name soil metagenome. Its description in RNAcentral is "partial contains 5.8S ribosomal RNA, internal transcribed spacer 2, and large subunit ribosomal RNA". The stretch from base 1 to 120 matches the Rfam family "5.8S ribosomal RNA", at positions 35 to 154 of the family's 154-position model. The record is from RNAcentral.